Molecule: ribosomal RNA, 504 nt
Filed under: uncultured bacterium
Lineage: Bacteria
Description: partial 16S ribosomal RNA
Rfam family: Bacterial small subunit ribosomal RNA
Source: RNAcentral
AUUGAACGCUGGCGGCAGGCCUAACACAUGCAAGUCGGACGGUAGCACAGAGAGCUUGCUCUUGGGUGACGAGUGGCGGACGGGUGAGUAAUGUCUGGGGAUCUGCCCGAUAGAGGGGGGUAACCACUGGAAACGGUGGCUAAUACCGCAUAACGUCGCAAGACCAAAGAGGGGGACCUUCGGGCCUCUCACUAUCGGAUGAACCCAGAUGGGAUUAGCUAGUAGGCGGGGUAAUGGCCCACCUAGGCGACGAUCCCGAGCUGGUCUGGGAGGAUGCCCAGCCACACUGGAACUGAGACACGGUCCAGACUCCUACGGGAGGCAGCAGUGGGGAAUAUUGCACAAUGGGCGCAAGCCUGAUGCAGCCAUGCCGCGUGUAUGAAGAAGGCCUUCGGGUUGUAAAGUACUUUCAGCGGGGAGGAAGGCGGUGAGGUUAAUAACCUUGCCGAUUGACGUUACCCGCAGAAGAAGCACCGGCUAACUCCGUGCCAGCCGCCGCGGUAA